CAUUUUGUCCCUAGCUGUGGCCAACAGAAAGUAAAUUACCGUGGAACUGAAUGUGAAGGAGAUGAUAGUUUGACUUUCCAGAAGACUGAAUCUUCUGCGGUUAGUUUAUUCUCCAGAGAACAUACACUACAAAAACCUGGUACAGCUGGAUCAUCUUCUUCGGAUCGGAGCAGUAUUACUGAGACACAUUGCUCUAUUGACAAUCAUGUCCGCAAUGAGGAAUAUGAGCCACUCACCAACUCUAGUACUAGCUCCAUGCUCAGCUCAUCUUGCGUGGUUCAACCAUCCAUUCUGGAAGAUUACUUCACUUCCAAUGGCCAGCUUCUGACUAGGCAAAAGGUUGGAGGAUCUGGGAAGGUUAUCGAGGAUGCAGUACCUAAUGGCUCAACUAGUGUGUCUUUGCUUGCAAGCAAACAUGUCAGACCCAUAAGUACUAGGCAAAUUGACUCUCAACAUGUCUCGUUUUCCGCUGUGAUGUCUAGGCCAAUCUCUUCUAAGUUUUCAACUUUAUCAGACUUGCACUCUUCUGCCAUAGUUCAAGAUCUUCAAAGUGGAGCUCCAGCAAUAUCUUGGAGCUCCAAUGGUUCCGACAUUGCUUCUUUUGAAAGAAGAUUCUCACAGAAACUCAAUGUUUGUGCAGCCAAAGGGAAUUCUUCCCCUUCAUCAGAUAGCAAUUCUUUGCAAGCUCUAGACUCUGAAUCAUCGGGAGCUGGUUCAAGUUAUUCGCCCUUUAAUCAUGCCUUGUCACAGAACCUAGAUUCUGAUGGACAUGGUGGAGUCAGCAAGAGUGGCAUUUUUUGGUAUGGUCUAGCCAGUCUAGUAGAUGCUGCUGUGGAUAAAAGGAAGGAAGUUUUCCAUGAUAAAGUCCUGACAGAUAAAAGCAAAGGAAAAAUGAGCAAACCUGCCACCCAAGAGGUUAUGGAGCCCUUGUCAAUGACAGUGUCUGAGCUGCAAAUCACUUGUCCUAGUCAUCCUAUUGAGUUGGCUUCAAAAUCCCUUGGUGUUAAAGAAAGUGAUCCUAUUGGAAACUCUUCUGAAAUAAUUAACGAGAAUGAUUCUGAUUUGGAUUCUCCUUGUUGGAAAGGAAAACUUAGUGCUAAUCAAUCAACCUGUGAAGUUUCUAGACCUGAUGAUUUUCAACAUCUUAAAAGUGCUCGAGGAGCUUGCAGCAAUUUAAAUCCUCUCGCGCCUCAUUUUGUCCCUAGCUGUGGCAAACAGAAAGUAAAUUACCGUGGAACUGAAUGUGAAGGAGAUGAUAGUUUGACUUUCCAGAAGACUGAAUCUUCUGCGGUUAGUUUAUUCUCCAGAGAACAUACACUACAAAAACCUGGUACAGCUGGAUCAUCUUCUUCGGAUCGGAGCAGUAUUACUGAGACACAUUGCUCUAUUGACAAUCAUGUCCGCAAUAAGGAAUAUGAGCCACUCACCAACUCUAGUACUAGCUCCAUGCUCAGCUCAUCUUGCGUGGUUCA
RNAcentral lists this long non-coding RNA (1472 nucleotides) under Populus trichocarpa (black cottonwood). Its description in RNAcentral is "long non-coding RNA (PTRI_LNC002801)". The record is from RNAcentral. Lineage: Eukaryota; Viridiplantae; Streptophyta; Magnoliopsida; Malpighiales; Salicaceae.